AAUAAAUACUGCUGCGUCCUUCAGCAAGGUUAAAAAGACACCAGUCUUCACUCUUCUCCACCCCCUUUUCUAUUAGAGGACCUUUAAAGGAGCCGGGUAAAAAUCACUGCACAAUUCAACCCUCUUGUCAAGGUCAAGACAUACCUUUAAUGAAUGAAGCCAGUCUGAAUGGAAAAACACUGGGUAAUAAACUACUUUGAAAGACAGGCCAGCCAAUGUCUAAUGUUGGACUAAUAUGCAGUACCUCCUGAUUAUUUGCUGGUGUUUGGUAUAUGACAAGUAGUCGAACACUCUGGCAAGAGCACUUUGACAGCUGGAAGCUUUCAGUGCAUGCUCUCUCAAGGAAUCAUGGGGUUUGAAGUCUUAUCUAUAGAUGGC
This is a long non-coding RNA of Athene cunicularia (burrowing owl), 378 nucleotides long. RefSeq lists it as uncharacterized. The record is from RefSeq and is a predicted model, not a curated record. Lineage: Eukaryota; Metazoa; Chordata; Aves; Strigiformes; Strigidae. The transcript is spliced from 3 exons.